This 433-nucleotide long non-coding RNA is filed under the name Bos taurus (domestic cattle). RNAcentral describes it as "long non-coding RNA NONBTAT023073". Lineage: Eukaryota; Metazoa; Chordata; Mammalia; Artiodactyla; Bovidae. The record is from RNAcentral.
ACACCAUCUAAACACUAUCUGUUGUGGAAUAUGGAAAGAACUUUAGUUAUAUGCAGAAAUGAAAGUUUUCUUCUACUAGAAAUAGAAGUAUAAAAGGUCAAGUAAUUCUAAAUUGUGCUUGUCAGUUUUAGAAAUUUCAAGUGAAAAAUCAUUUUGGAAGUACAGAAUGUAAUGUUUUAUUCUCACCUCUAUUCAGAAGCUUUGUAAAUCCCUAUUUACUCUAUUUCCCUUCUUCCUUUGGCUUUUGUUGCAAGCUGGCUGUUACAUAAUGGGAAACCAUUGCCUGAAUCGUCUGCUGUAGGUAUUUUCUACUUUCACUAACUAGAAAGCUUAAAGGGGCCGCAAGGGGACUCACUUAGAUUUUUUUCCGAUUCAUGUUGACUAUAUUAAUUACUGGAAUUACUUGUCUUGGUAACUGUUGAGAUAAACUCUC